UACGUAGGGUGCAAGCGUUGUCCGGAAUUAUUGGGCGUAAAGAGCUCGUAGGCGGCUUGUCGCGUCGACUGUGAAAUCCCGAGGCUCAACUUCGGGCUUGCAGUCGAUACGGGCAGGCUAGAGUUCGGUAGGGGAGACUGGAAUUCCUGGUGUAGCGGUGAAAUGCGCAGAUAUCAGGAGGAACACCGAUGGCGAAGGCAGGUCUCUGGGCCGAUACUGACGCUGAGGAGCGAAAGCGUGGGGAGCGAACAGG
This 253-nucleotide ribosomal RNA is filed under the name uncultured bacterium. Its description in RNAcentral is "partial 16S ribosomal RNA". It matches the Rfam family "Bacterial small subunit ribosomal RNA", at positions 524 to 776 of the family's 1533-position model. The record is from RNAcentral.